AGGACGACAUUAGACGAAUCAUCUGGAAAGAUGAAUCAAAGAAGGUAAUAAUCCUGUAGUCGAAAAUGUUGUCUCUCUUGAGUGGAUCCUGAGUACGACGGAGCACGUGAAAUUCCGUCGGAAUCUGGGAGGACCAUCUCCUAAGGCUAAAUACUCUCUAGUGACCGAUAGUGAACCAGUACCGUGAGGGAAAGGUGAAAAGCACCCCGGAAGGGGAGUGAAAUAGAACCUGAAACCGUGUGCUUACAAGUAGUCAGAGCCCGUUAAUGGGUGAUGGCGUGCCUUUUGUAGAAUGAACCGGCGAGUUACGAUUUGAUGCAAGGUUAAGCAGUAAAUGUGGAGCCGUAGCGAAAGCGAGUCUGAAUAGGGCGUUUAGUAUUUGGUCGUAGACCCGAAACCAGGUGAUCUACCCUUGGUCAGGUUGAAGUUCAGGUAACACUGAAUGGAGGACCGAACCGACUUACGUUGAAAAGUGAGCGGAUGAACUGAGGGUAGCGGAGAAAUUCCAAUCGAACCUGGAGAUAGCUGGUUCUCUCCGAAAUAGCUUUAGGGCUAGCCUCAAGUGAUGAUUAUUGGAGGUAGAGCACUGUUUGGACGAGGGGCCCCUCUCGGGUUACCGAAUUCAGACAAACUCCGAAUGCCAAUUAAUUUAACUUGGGAGUCAGAACAUGGGUGAUAAGGUCCGUGUUCGAAAGGGAAACAGCCCAGACCACCAGCUAAGGUCCCAAAAUAUAUG
Molecule: ribosomal RNA, 736 nt
Filed under: Staphylococcus aureus
Lineage: Bacteria; Bacillati; Bacillota; Bacilli; Caryophanales; Staphylococcaceae
Description: partial 23S ribosomal RNA
Rfam family: Bacterial large subunit ribosomal RNA
Source: RNAcentral